CGUUAGACGAACGGUCUGGAAAGUCCGACGAUACAGGGUGAUAGUCCCGUAGUUGACGACGUGUGUUCAGUGAAAUCGAGUAGGGCGGGACACGUGAUAUCCUGUCUGAAUAUGGGGGGACCAUCCUCCAAGGCUAAAUACUACUGACUGACCGAUAGUGAACCAGUACCGUGAGGGAAAGGCGAAAAGAACCCCUGUGAGGGGAGUGAAAUAGAACCUGAAACCGUGUACGUACAAGCAGUAGGAGCAGGCUUUGUCCUGUGACUGCGUACCUUUUGUAUAAUGGGUCAGCGACUUAUAUUCAGUGGCAAGGUUAACCAUCUAGGGGAGCCGUAGGGAAACCGAGUCUUAACUGGGCGUUCAGUCUCUGGAUAUAGACCCGAAACCAGGUGAUCUAGCCAUGGGCAGGUUGAAGGUUGAGUAACAUCAACUGGAGGACCGAACCGACUAAUGUUGAAAAAUUAGCGGAUGACUUGUGGCUAGGGGUGAAAGGCCAAUCAAACCUGGAGAUAGCUGGUUCUCCCCGAAAGCUAUUUAGGUAGCGCCUCGGACGAAUACUACUGGGGGUAGAGCACUGUUAAGGCUAGGGGGUCAUCCCGACUUACCAACCCUUUGCAAACUCCGAAUACCAGUAAGUACUAUCCGGGAGACACACGGCGGGUGCUAACGUCCGUCGUGGAGAGGGAAACAACCCAGACCGCCAGCUAAGGUCCCAAAUUACUACUAAGUGGGAAACGAUGUGGGAAGGCUCAGACAGCCAGGAUGUUGGCUUAGAAGCAGCCAUCAUUUAAAGAAAGCGUAAUAGCUCACUGGUCGAGUCGGCCUGCGCGGAAGAUGUAACGGGGCUAAGUA
Molecule: ribosomal RNA, 852 nt
Filed under: Vibrio parahaemolyticus
Lineage: Bacteria; Pseudomonadati; Pseudomonadota; Gammaproteobacteria; Vibrionales; Vibrionaceae
Description: partial 23S ribosomal RNA
Rfam family: Bacterial large subunit ribosomal RNA
Source: RNAcentral